Molecule: ribosomal RNA, 497 nt
Filed under: uncultured bacterium
Lineage: Bacteria
Description: partial 16S ribosomal RNA
Rfam family: Bacterial small subunit ribosomal RNA
Source: RNAcentral
GAUGAACGCUGGCGGCGUGCCUAAUACAUGCAAGUCGAGCGAACAGACGAGGAGCUUGCGCCUUUGACGUUAGCGGCGGACGGGUGAGUAACACGUGGAGAACCUACCUAUAAGACUGGGAUAACUUCGGGAAACCGGAGCUAAUACCGGAUAACAUGUUGAACCGCAUGGUUCAACAGUGAAAGACGGUCUUGCUGUCACUUAUAGAUUGAUCCGCGCCGCAUUAGCUAGUUGGUAAGGUAACGGCUUACCAAGGCAACGAUGCGUAGCCGACCUGAGAGGCUGAUCGGCCACACUGGAACUGCGACACGGUCAAGACUCCUACGGGAGGCAGCAGUAGGGAAUCUUCCGCAAUGGGCGAAAGCCUGACGGAGCAACGCCGCGUGAGUGAAGAAGGUCUUCGGAUCGUAAAACUCUGUUAUUAGGGAAGAACAAAUGUGUAAGUAACUAUGCACGUCUUGACGGUACCUAAUCAAAAAGCCACGGCUAACUACGUG